AGUGAACGCUGGCGGUAGGCCUAACACAUGCAAGUCGAACGGCAGCACAGUAAGAGCUUGCUCUUACGGGUGGCGAGUGGCGGACGGGUGAGGAAUACAUCGGAAUCUACUUUUUCGUGGGGGAUAACGUAGGGAAACUUACGCUAAUACCGCAUACGACCUACGGGUGAAAGCAGGGGAUCUUCGGACCUUGCGCGAUUGAAUGAGCCGAUGUCGGAUUAGCUAGUUGGCGGGGUAAAGGCCCACCAAGGCGACGAUCCGUAGCUGGUCUGAGAGGAUGAUCAGCCACCCUGGAACUGAGACACGGUCCAGACUCCUACGGGAGGCAGCAGUGGGGAAUAUUGGACAGUGGGCGCAAGCCUGAUCCAGCCAUACCGCGUGGGUGAAGAAGGCCUUCGGGUUGUAAAGCCCUUUUGUUGGGAAAGAAAAGCAGCAGGUUAAUACCCCGCUGUUCUGACGGUACCCAAAGAAUAAGCACCGGCUAACUUCGUG
Molecule: ribosomal RNA, 492 nt
Filed under: uncultured bacterium
Lineage: Bacteria
Description: partial 16S ribosomal RNA
Rfam family: Bacterial small subunit ribosomal RNA
Source: RNAcentral